Molecule: ribosomal RNA, 253 nt
Filed under: uncultured prokaryote
Description: partial 16S ribosomal RNA
Rfam family: Bacterial small subunit ribosomal RNA
Source: RNAcentral
GACGAACCGUGCGAACGUUGUUCGGAAUCACUGGGCUUAAAGGGCGCGUAGGCGGCCGGGUUGGUCGUGGGUGAAAUCCCCCAGCUUAACUGGGGAACUGCCUACGAUACUGCCUGGCUCGAGGGAGGAAGGGGCGGUCGGAACUGUCGGUGGAGCGGUGAAAUGCGUAGAUAUCAAGAGGAACACCUGAGGUGAAGACGGGUUGCUGGGCUGACACUGACGCUGAGGCGCGAAAGCGUGGGGAGCGAACAGG